UUACGACCAUAUCACGUUGAAACACCAGUUCUCGUCCGAUCACUGACAUCAAACAACAUUGUGCCUGGUCAGUAUAUAGAUAGGUAACCGCUUGGGAAUGCCAGAUGCU
This is a non-coding RNA of Acanthosepion pharaonis, 109 nucleotides long. The record is from the annotation of a GenBank genome assembly. NCBI's taxonomy places the organism in Eukaryota, Metazoa, Mollusca, Cephalopoda, Sepiida, Sepiidae.